UGAUCUUGGCUCACUGCAACCUCCACCUUGCGGGUUCAAGUGAUUCUUGUGCCUCAGCCUCCUGAGUAGCUGGGAUUACAGGCACAUACCACCAUGCCCAGCUAACUUUUUGUAUUUUUAGUAGAGAUGGGGUUUCACCAUGUUGGCCAGGCUUGUCUUGAACUCCUGACCUCAAGUGAUCCACCCACCUCCCAAAGUGUUGGGAUUACAGGCGUGAGCCACCAUGCCCGGCCUCAUUUUUGUUUUAGUAGUCAUCAGAUAUAAGAUUACUCUACCUUAAAAGAACAAGUUAAUGAGAUGAACUCUAUCAGCUUUUAAAUAAGUCUGAGAUAAUUUGUACCACUUGGAUUUUUGUAUACAUGUUCAUUGCAUUUAAUAAUUCGUCAGUAACUCCAGCAUAUAGCAGUGAACCAACAUGAAAAUAAAUUAUUUUUUGAAACACUAGGGCUAUUUUGUGUUCAUCUGGUUAUUAAAUGUUCUCAUGUGAUAUUCUUGCAAAUUGAAUGUCAUCUCCCUUGAGAUUUUAUAAGUGCUUGGUAAAUAUCUUCAUAGUCUAAAACAGGGAUUGGCAAACUGUGG
Molecule: long non-coding RNA, 579 nt
Filed under: Homo sapiens (human)
Lineage: Eukaryota; Metazoa; Chordata; Mammalia; Primates; Hominidae
Description: HSALNT0091355
Source: RNAcentral